CCUACGGGAGGCAGCAGUGGGGAAUUUUGGACAAUGGGCGCCAGCCUGAUCCAGCAAUGCCGCGUGAGUGAAGAAGGCCUUCGGGUUGUAAAGCUCUUUUGUCAGGGAAGAAACGGCUGAGGUUAAUACCUUCGGCUAAUGACGGUACCUGAAGAAUAAGCACCGGCUAACUACGUGCCAGCAGCCGCGGUAAUACGUAGGGUGCAAGCGUUAAUCGGAAUUACUGGGCGUAAAGCGUGCGCAGGCGGUUUUGUAAGUCUGACGUGAAAUCCCCGGGCUCAACCUGGGAAUUGCGUUGGAGACUGCAAGGCUGGAGUCUGGCAGAGGGGGGUAGAAUUCCACGUGUAGCAGUGAAAUGCGUAGAGAUGUGGAGGAACACCGAUGGCGAAGGCAGCCCCCUGGGUCAAGACUGACGCUCAUGCACGAAAGCGUGGGGAGCAAACAGGAUUAGAUACCCUGGUAGUCCACGCCCUAAACGAUGUCUACUAGUUGUCGGGUCUUAAUUGACUUGGUAACGCAGCUAACGCGUGAAGUAGACCGCCUGGGGAGUCGGUCGCAAGNUUAAAACUUAAUGAAAUUGACGGCUGGNGAGNGCGAGACGACGACGAGGGAGGAGG
This 617-nucleotide ribosomal RNA is filed under the name uncultured bacterium. Its description in RNAcentral is "bacterial SSU rRNA". It matches the Rfam family "Bacterial small subunit ribosomal RNA", at positions 338 to 948 of the family's 1533-position model. The record is from RNAcentral.